This 71-nucleotide transfer RNA is filed under the name Loxodonta africana (African savanna elephant). It matches the Rfam family "tRNA". Rfam says of the family: Transfer RNA (tRNA) molecules are approximately 80 nucleotides in length. Their secondary structure includes four short double-helical elements and three loops (D, anti-codon, and T loops). Lineage: Eukaryota; Metazoa; Chordata; Mammalia; Proboscidea; Elephantidae. The record is from Rfam by way of RNAcentral.
CCACUGGUGGUUCAGUGGUAGAACUCUUGCCUGCCACAUAGGAGUCCGGGGUUCUAGUCCCAGCCAAUGCA